RNAcentral lists this transfer RNA (73 nucleotides) under Canis lupus familiaris (dog). It matches the Rfam family "tRNA". From Rfam's summary of the family: Transfer RNA (tRNA) molecules are approximately 80 nucleotides in length. Their secondary structure includes four short double-helical elements and three loops (D, anti-codon, and T loops). The record is from Rfam by way of RNAcentral. RNAcentral also lists the same sequence under 1 other name. Lineage: Eukaryota; Metazoa; Chordata; Mammalia; Carnivora; Canidae.
ACCUAGCUGGCUCAGUCAGUAGAGCAUGAGACUCUUGAUCUUGGGGUUGUGAGUUCCAGCCCCACGCUGCAUG